GCCUGAGAAACGGCUACCACAUCCAAGGAAGGCAGCAGGCGCGCAAAUUACCCACUCCCGGCACGGGGAGGUAGUGACGAAAAAUAACGAUACGGGACUCAUCCGAGGCCCCGUAAUCGGAAUGAGUACACUUUAAAUCCUUUAACGAGGAUCAAUUGGAGGGCAAGUCUGGUGCCAGCAGCCGCGGUAAUUCCAGCUCCAAUAGCGUAUAUUAAAGUUGUUGCGGUUAAAAAGCUCGUAGUUGAAUCUGUGUCCCACGCUGUCGGUUCACCGCUCGCGGUGUUCAACUGGCAUGAUUGUGGUACGUCCUACCGGUGGGCUUAGCCUCCCCGUCAAAAGGGGGGCGGCCCAGCUUAUAUCCCAUCGCGGUGCUCUUUACCGAGUGUCGAGGUGGGCCGGUACGUUUACUUUGAACAAAUUAGAGUGCUUAAAGCAGGCCAAUUUCGCCUGAAUACUGUGUGCAUGGAAUAAUGGAAUAGGACCUCGGUUCUAUUUUGUUGGCUUUCGGAACCCCGAGGUAAUGAUUAAUAGGAACAGAUGGGGGCAUUCGUAUUGCGACGUUAGAGGUGAAAUUCUUGGAUCGUCGCAAGACGGACAGAAGCGAAAGCAUUUGCCAAAAAUGUUUUCUUUAAUCAAGAACGAAAGUUAGAGGUUCGAAGGCGAUCAGAUACCGCCCUAGUUCUAACCAUAAACGAUGCCAGCUAGCGAUCCGCCGAAGUUCCUCCGAUAACUCGGCGGGCAGCUUCCGGGAAACCAAAGCUUUUGGGUUCCGGGGGAAGUAUGGUUGCAAAGCUGAAACUUAAAGGAAUUGACGGAAGGGCACCACCAGGAGUGGAGCCUGCGGCUUAAUUUGACUCAACACGGGAAACCUCACCAGGCCCGGACACCGGAAGGAUUGACAGAUUGAGAGCUCUUUCUUGAUUCGGUGGGUGGUGGUGCAUGGCCGUUCUUAGUUGGUGGAGCGAUUUGUCUGGUUAAUUCCGAUAACGAACGAGACUCUAGCCUGCUAAAUAGGCGUACUUACCGGUAUCUCGAAGGCCCCCGGCCUCGGUCGCGGGGUUUUUACUACCGGCGUACAAAUAAAUCUUCUUAGAGGGACAGGCGGCUUCUAGCCGCACGAGAUUGAGCAAUAACAGGUCUGUGAUGCCCUUAGAUGUUCUGGGCCGCACGCGCGC
RNAcentral lists this ribosomal RNA (1175 nucleotides) under Decameria similis. Its description in RNAcentral is "SSU rRNA". It matches the Rfam family "Eukaryotic small subunit ribosomal RNA", at positions 394 to 1498 of the family's 1831-position model. The record is from RNAcentral. Lineage: Eukaryota; Metazoa; Arthropoda; Insecta; Hymenoptera; Pergidae.